Molecule: ribosomal RNA, 401 nt
Filed under: uncultured bacterium
Lineage: Bacteria
Description: bacterial SSU rRNA
Rfam family: Bacterial small subunit ribosomal RNA
Source: RNAcentral
CGGGAAUAUUGCGCAAUGGAGGAAACUCUGACGCAGUGACGCCGCGUAUAGGAAGAAGGUUUUCGGAUUGUAAACUAUUGUCGUUAGGGAAGAGAAAGGACAGUACCUAAGGAGGAAGCUCCGGCUAACUACGUGCCAGCAGCCGCGGUAAUACGUAGGGAGCGAGCGUUAUCCGGAAUUAUUGGGUGUAAAGGGUGCGUAGACGGGAAGAUAAGUUAGUUGUGAAAUCCCUCGGCUUAACUGAGGAACUGCAACUAAAACUGUUUUUCUUGAGUGCAGGAGAGGUAAGUGGAAUUCCUAGUGUAGCGGUGAAAUGCGUAGAUAUUAGGAGGAACACCAGUGGCGAAGGCGACUUACUGGACUGUAACUGACGUUGAGGCACGAAAGUGUGGGGAGCAAAC